RNAcentral lists this long non-coding RNA (997 nucleotides) under Naja naja (Indian cobra). RNAcentral describes it as "lncRNA (ENSNNAG00000015175.1)". The record is from RNAcentral. Lineage: Eukaryota; Metazoa; Chordata; Lepidosauria; Squamata; Elapidae.
GCGAGAGCCGGAUGAUCGGGGCAGCUCCUCCCUCCCUCCCAGGGAACGAGCUACCCUCUCCGGGUCUCCCAACGCCCGCAAUUCCCUCGGUGAGGCCAGCGCCCGAGUCGCGUUCCAGGAGAAAAGCCCCUGAGGCUUGGCAGCUCGCGUCCCCGCCCGACCCACGCCUUUAGCUCUGCGGGAGGGGCUGAGGCCAUUCCAAACGCCCUUAAAGCCUGCAGCGGAUGAAGCCCCCUUUCUCCUCCCCCGCUUUCUUUGCAGGAGGGAUCGGGAGGGGCGCGCCGUUGUUCUGCGGUCCCGUGAUACAGCCUUCCAGCACGGCCUAUCGCCCGGCCUUACAAAGGAGUCGCUUGGAGAGAUCCGGUCCAGUUCCCAACGGUUUCCUCAGUCUCGAGGGGGGAUCGGUGCGGGAGUGUGAAGCAGACAGAAGCGCCGCUCUGGCUCUAGCCUUCCAGGGUCGCACUCGGGACUCCGCUGGUUGCCCAAGGGAGCUCCUGGAUCUGUGCAGCCAAGAGACCUUCUCACAAAUCAGGGAUGGCCUACCUUGUAAUGGCCAAGAACCAGAAGGUCACACCUGAGGGGGGUUGCAACUGCUAAUGGAGGAAGGCAUUCCAUCAAGGAGCUGCUCCUCCCCAGGAAGGAGGCUUGUCCACAGAGGUCAGGGGAAGACUGUCCCUGCCCAAAUGGGGUAGCUGAGACAGUCCUGCAAAGUGUCAUGGCUGUACAAGUGAGGACCAGAGGAGGGACUGAGCCAGAAGCUGAUUGGAAGCCAGCCUGGGACCCACUCUGCCACGUCAGAGAAAACAAGAACCCCUUUGGGAGCAGCUGCUGUGUUCUACGUCUCCAAGCCCUCUUUGAAGGCACUUUCCUUAUCAGUGGAACUGGGGUGAGACGUGAACACUGGGGUUUGCAGCAUUCCAUCUUCCCAAGGCUCCUGCGAGUCCCUUGGAUUGCAAGGCGAUCCAACUGGUCAGUCCUAGAUGAGACUAAUCCUGGC